RNAcentral lists this long non-coding RNA (1131 nucleotides) under Homo sapiens (human). RNAcentral describes it as "HSALNT0027886". Lineage: Eukaryota; Metazoa; Chordata; Mammalia; Primates; Hominidae. The record is from RNAcentral.
UGAUUAAUCACGAAGGUAAAGUGUGACAGCCAUAGGACCUCGUUGGUAGCAUAUAAAGAGGCCAUCAUCUCUCACAACUGGAGGGCGGAAAAGGCUGAGUAUCAGACCCGAGAUUGAAUUUAUAAGAGUUGUGGCACCCCAGAGAUGGUCAAAUUCUCAACCCUAUGCAGUCGGUGAUGCCAAGGUCAGGGUCCUUGUGCCAGUGCUGUGAGACUGCAGCACAGUUCAGUGCCUCCCUCCCUCUGCCUAGCCUCGCUGCCUUCACUCCUCACAAGAGCACCCCCACAAGAAUCUUCCUGUACCCUAAUCUCAAUUUCAGAAUCAGCUUCUCAAGAACCCCACGUUGGACAGGGCAGACGACCGUACCAACGAGGAGUCAUCAGUUCCCCGCCAGCAGGGCUCAGUCUCUUCACUCAGGGUUCAGCUCAAAUACUGCUUCCUCGAGAACAUUCCUUGACCACUUAUCCUGAAGUAUUCCAUGUCAUGCCUGCUCAGUUUCGGUUUUGAGGGUCCAAAAUCUGAAGCAACUUAUCUGGGCAGAUCUCUCUCCUAAGGUUGCGAUCAAGAUGGGGCUGCAGACUCUGAGGAUUUGACUGGGGCUGAAGAACCCACUUCUGAGCUCAUCCAGGAGGCUGUUUGCAGGAAGCUAUAGUUUCUUACCAUGUGGGCCUCUCCAUGGGACUGUUCUCAGCAUGGCUUUCCCCAUAGCUGAUACUGAUACUGGGAGAAAGAGGAAGAGAUAGAGAGAAAGAGACGAAAAAGGGAGAGAGAGAGAGAGAAUGCAAUGCUGCUCUGCCCUUAGAGAGAGAGCGAGAGAGAGAGAAAAAGAGAGAAAAAGAGAGAGAGAAUGCAAUGCUGCCCUGCCCUUUAUGGCCUAGUCACCAAUUACACAUCAUCCCACCUGCCUUAUCCUUUGCUUAGUAAGUCACAAAGCUCAGUCCAUGCUCUAUGGAAGAAGCUAAUAUGGCGGUGGAAAUACCAGAAGAUGGGCCUCAAUGCUGGCCAUCUUGGAGGCUGGCAACCACAAGAUAUUUAGACCAUUUACAUUUAAUAUAAUUAUUGAUAUGUUUAUGUUCAAAUCUAUUAUCUUAUUUUUUUAUUUCUACCACCUGUUCUUUGUUUCAUUUUCCC